Mytilus californianus (California mussel) is the source of this 539-nucleotide long non-coding RNA. RefSeq lists it as uncharacterized. The record is from RefSeq and is a predicted model, not a curated record. NCBI's taxonomy places the organism in Eukaryota, Metazoa, Mollusca, Bivalvia, Mytilida, Mytilidae. The transcript is spliced from 2 exons.
AUUUGUGUAUAAGUAAUGCAUUAUUCAAUAUGCUAUAAUCUUCUAUAGAUUGAACAUAAGUAGUCGUACUAAGUAUUUGUCAUUAUUUAUGCGACAUGUGUAAUACAUAAACAUAUGUAUAUUUCUUAAGUAUAGUAUUGUAUCUUAACGUACAGUAUGUAUUUCAAUAGGUCCCAGUUUGCGGGCUAGGUGUAUGUAGUUUUGUAUAGUAAAGUAUGGAGAUAUAGUACAGAUGGUGGUGAAACCUGUUGACAGUGCGGCGUUCCGUGUUUAUCAUCAAUAGUUUGGCAACAUAGAAUAUUUGGAGUCGAGUCUAGACAAUAGGGCAGCCGUAAUGUGUACACCGCUUAUGUUGGGCCAGUUUUGUGUAGUUACCGAAAACCAAAUACGUAAAAUUCCGUAGUAUCGUUUAUCCAGAUUUCAUAUUUAAUAUAAAGAAGAAGGAACAGUUCAUUAAUCAUUUGACAGUAUUAUUUCAUUUGAUUUCAUCUAUUUAUAUUUGUAAAUUUGUACCUAAUUAAAUUGUUAUUUUGUUUAAA